UGGGGAAUAUUGGACAAUGGGCGCAAGCCUGAUCCAGCAAUGCCGCGUGAGUGAUGAAGGCCUUAGGGUUGUAAAGCUCUUUCGCACGCGACGAUGAUGACGGUAGCGUGAGAAGAAGCCCCGGCUAACUUCGUGCCAGCAGCCGCGGUAAUACGAAGGGGGCUAGCGUUGUUCGGAAUUACUGGGCGUAAAGGGCGCGUAGGCGGCCUGUUUAGUCAGAAGUGAAAGCCCCGGGCUCAACCUGGGAAUAGCUUUUGAUACUGGCAGGCUUGAGUUCCGGAGAGGAUGGUGGAAUUCCCAGUGUAGAGGUGAAAUUCGUAGAUAUUGGGAAGAACACCGGUGGCGAAGGCGGCCAUCUGGACGGACACUGACGCUGAGGCGCGAAAGCGUGGGGAGCAAACAGGAUUAGAUACCCUGGUAGUCCACGCCCGUAAACGAUGAAUGCUAGACGUCGGGGUGCAUGCACUUCGGUGUCGCCGCUAACGCAUUAAGCAUUCCGCCUGGGGAGUACGGCCGCAAGGUUAAAAC
This 528-nucleotide ribosomal RNA is filed under the name uncultured bacterium. RNAcentral's name for it is "partial 16S ribosomal RNA". It matches the Rfam family "Bacterial small subunit ribosomal RNA", at positions 355 to 900 of the family's 1533-position model. The record is from RNAcentral.